RNAcentral lists this ribosomal RNA (383 nucleotides) under uncultured bacterium. RNAcentral describes it as "bacterial SSU rRNA". It matches the Rfam family "Bacterial small subunit ribosomal RNA", at positions 28 to 399 of the family's 1533-position model. The record is from RNAcentral.
GAUGAACGCUGGCGGCGUGCCUAAUACAUGCAAGUCGAACGCACAGCGAAAGGUGCUUGCACCUUUCAAGUGAGUGGCGAACGGGUGAGUAACACGUGGAUAACCUACCUCAAGGUUGGGGAUAACAUUUGGAAACAGAUGCUAAUACCGAAUAAAACUUCGUAUCGCAUGAUACAAGGUUAAAAAGGCGCUACGGCGUCACCUAGAGAUGGAUCGCGGUGCAUUAGUUAGUUGGUGGGGUAAAGGCCUACCAAGACAAUGAUGCAUAGCCGAGUUGAGAGACUGAUCGGCCACAUUGGGACUGAGACACGGCCCAAACUCCUACGGGAGGCUGCAGUAGGGAAUCUUCCACAAUGGGCGAAAGCCUGGAUGGAGCAACGCCG